UACGUAGGGAGCGAGCGUUGUCCGGAUUUACUGGGUGUAAAGGGUGCGUAGGCGGCUAUGCAAGUCAGUAGUGAAAUCCAAGGGCUUAACCCAUGAACUGCUAUUGAAACUGCACAGCUUGAGUGAAGUAGAGGUAGGCGGAAUUCCCGGUGUAGCGGUGAAAUGCGUAGAGAUCGGGAGGAACACCAGUGGCGAAGGCGGCCUACUGGGCUUUAACUGACGCUGAGGCACGAAAGCGUGGGUAGCAAACAGG
This 253-nucleotide ribosomal RNA is filed under the name uncultured bacterium. RNAcentral describes it as "partial 16S ribosomal RNA". It matches the Rfam family "Bacterial small subunit ribosomal RNA", at positions 524 to 776 of the family's 1533-position model. The record is from RNAcentral.